Molecule: ribosomal RNA, 253 nt
Filed under: uncultured bacterium
Lineage: Bacteria
Description: partial 16S ribosomal RNA
Rfam family: Bacterial small subunit ribosomal RNA
Source: RNAcentral
UACAGAGGGUGCAAGCGUUGUUCGGAAUUAUUGGGCGUAAAGGGCGUGUAGGCGGCCUUGUAAGUCGGGGGUGAAAUCCACUGGCUCAACCAGUGACGUGCCUUCGAAACUGCUUGGCUUGAGUAUGGCAGAGGAGAGCGGAAUUCCAGGUGUAGCGGUGAAAUGCGUAGAUAUCAGGAGGAACACCGAUGGCGAAGGCAGGUCUCUGGGCAUUAACUGACGCUGAGGAGCGAAAGCAUGGGGAGCGAACAGG